Molecule: long non-coding RNA, 325 nt
Organism: Cavia porcellus (domestic guinea pig)
Lineage: Eukaryota; Metazoa; Chordata; Mammalia; Rodentia; Caviidae
Exons: 2
Source: RefSeq, a predicted model, not a curated record
CACUGGCUGAACUGCUUACUGGGGUGUGGUCUCAGUCCUUUCCUACAGCCCUGUCCUGUGUAUGCUGUACCUAUACGUCUGCGCCUCCUACGGAAAGAGCAGAAUCCUGAGAGUCCCCUAACACAAGACCCUUAUUUAUCUCUUUAAACCAAUCUGUGGACUGGCUGACUUUCAGCUCUGAUACAGAGGAAAGGAACGGCUUCCCCAGGAGCUCUGCCCAGAUACAGAUUCUGGAGGAUUCUAAACCAUUCUUGGCAGAGAAUACAAAGGAAUGGCAUUUCAAGGAUACAAAGUAGCCACUUAAUAAAUAUAUGCUGAACGAUGA